CCCUUCGGGGUGGAUUAGUGGCGAACGGGUGAGUAACACGUGGGCAAUCUGCCCUUCACUCUGGGACAAGCCCUGGAAACGGGGUCUAAUACCGGAUACGACGCGCUCGGGCAUCCGAUGUGCGUGGAAAGCUCCGGCGGUGAAGGAUGAGCCCGCGGCCUAUCAGCUUGUUGGUGAGGUAACGGCUCACCAAGGCGACGACGGGUAGCCGGCCUGAGAGGGCGACCGGCCACACUGGGACUGAGACACGGCCCAGACUCCUACGGGAGGCAGCAGUGGGGAAUAUUGCACAAUGGGCGAAAGCCUGAUGCAGCGACGCCGCGUGAGGGAUGACGGCCUUCGGGUUGUAAACCUCUUUCAGCAGGGAAGAAGCGAAAGUGACGGUACCUGCAGAAGAAGCGCCGGCUAACUACGUGCCAGCAGCCGCGGUAAUACGUAGGGCGCGAGCGUUGUCCGGAAUUAUUGGGCGUAAAGAGCUCGUAGGCGGUCUGUCGCGUCGGAUGUGAAAGCCCGGGGCUUAACCCCGGGUCUGCAUUCGAUACGGGCAGACUAGAGUGUGGUAGGGGAGAUCGGAAUUCCUGGUGUAGCGGUGAAAUGCGCAGAUAUCAGGAGGAACACCGGUGGCGAAGGCGGAUCUCUGGGCCAUUACUGACGCUGAGGAGCGAAAGCGUGGGGAGCGAACAGGAUUAGAUA
This 693-nucleotide ribosomal RNA is filed under the name Streptomyces sp. RNAcentral describes it as "bacterial SSU rRNA". It matches the Rfam family "Bacterial small subunit ribosomal RNA", at positions 76 to 784 of the family's 1533-position model. Lineage: Bacteria; Bacillati; Actinomycetota; Actinomycetes; Kitasatosporales; Streptomycetaceae. The record is from RNAcentral.